RNAcentral lists this ribosomal RNA (465 nucleotides) under uncultured bacterium. RNAcentral describes it as "partial 16S ribosomal RNA". It matches the Rfam family "Bacterial small subunit ribosomal RNA", at positions 28 to 507 of the family's 1533-position model. The record is from RNAcentral.
GACGAACGCUGGCGGCGUGCUUAACACAUGCAAGUCGAACGGAAAGGCCCUGCUUGCAGGGUACUCGAGUGGCGAACGGGUGAGUAACACGUGGGUGAUCUGCCCUGCACUUCGGGAUAAGCCUGGGAAACUGGGUCUAAUACCGGAUAGGAGCCAUUUUUAGUGUGAUGGUUGGAAAGUUUUUUCGGUGUAGGAUGAGCUCGCGGUCUAUCAGCUUGUUGGUGGGGUAAUGGCCUACCAAGGCGGCGACGGGUAGCCGGCCUGAGAGGGUGGACGGCCACAUUGGGACUGAGAUACGGCCCAGACUCCUACGGGAGGCAGCAGUGGGGAAUAUUGCACAAUGGGCGCAAGCCUGAUGCAGCGACGCCGCGUGGGGGAUGACGGCCUUCGGGUUGUAAACUCCUUUCGCUAGGGACGAAGCUUUUUGUGACGGUACCUAGAGAAGAAGCACCGGCUAACUACGUG